This 236-nucleotide unclassified non-coding RNA is filed under the name Hevea brasiliensis (rubber tree). The record is from RNAcentral. Lineage: Eukaryota; Viridiplantae; Streptophyta; Magnoliopsida; Malpighiales; Euphorbiaceae.
GUUUGUUUCUCUACUUUCGUCUUUAUAUCUUCUGUUUGUUUACAGAGAAAACAGAGGAAAAUGAGAGAGGAAACUGUAAUUUUACUAUUAUAAGUUGCAAUUCUUUCGGUUUUUGACCGAAUAACAGAUUUCCCUCAGUUACAGCUUUUAUAUUUCUUUCAUUUCUCUGGUCGUUUCUCAGUUGCCAAACAGAGAAAGUUACUAGCUUUUGCGUCCCUCUAGUAAUAAAGUUAAAA